UACGUAGGGUGCAAGCGUUAAUCGGAAUUACUGGGCGUAAAGGGUGCGCAGGCGGCUUUGCAAGACAGAUGUGAAAUCCCCGGGCUCAACCUGGGAACUGCAUUUGUGACUGCAAGGCUGGAGUACGGUAGAGGGGGAUGGAAUUCCGCGUGUAGCAGUGAAAUGCGUAGAUAUGCGGAGGAACACCGAUGGCGAAGGCAAUCCCCUGGACCUGUACUGACGCUCAUGCACGAAAGCGUGGGGAGCAAACAGG
This 253-nucleotide ribosomal RNA is filed under the name uncultured bacterium. RNAcentral's name for it is "partial 16S ribosomal RNA". It matches the Rfam family "Bacterial small subunit ribosomal RNA", at positions 524 to 776 of the family's 1533-position model. The record is from RNAcentral.